RNAcentral lists this ribosomal RNA (940 nucleotides) under uncultured bacterium. Its description in RNAcentral is "bacterial SSU rRNA". It matches the Rfam family "Bacterial small subunit ribosomal RNA", at positions 505 to 1453 of the family's 1533-position model. The record is from RNAcentral.
GUGGCAGCCGCCGCGGUAAUACGGAGGAUCCAAGCGUUAUCCGGAUUUAUUGGGUUUAAAGGGUGCGCAGGCGGGUUGAUAAGUCAGCGGCGAAAGUUUGCAGCUUAACUGUAAAAUUGCCGUUGAAACUGUCGAUCUUGAGUGCAAAUGAGGUAAGCGGAAUGUGUUGUGUAGCGGUGAAAUGCUUAAAUAUAACACAAAACACCGAUUGCCAAGGCAGCUUACUGGGAUGCAACUGACGCUCAUGCACCAAAGCGUGGGGGUCAAACAGGAAUAAAUACCCUGGGAGUCCACCCAGUAAACGAUGAAUACUAACUGGUUGCGAAAUACAGUAAGCGGUACAGCGAAAGCGUUAAGUAUUCCACCUGGGGAAUACGUUCGCAAGAAUGAAACUCAAAGGAAUUGACGGGGGCCCCCACAAGCCGAAGAACAUGUGGUUUAAUUCCAUGAAACCCGAGGAACCCUAACCGGGCUUGAAAUGCUAUCGACGGACUUGGAAACAGGUCUUCCAGCAAUGGGCGAUAGUGUAGGUGCUGCAUGGUUGUCGUCAGCUCGUGCCCGUGAGGUGUCGGCUUAAGUGCCCAUAACGAGCGCAACCCUUAUCAUUAGUUACUAACAGGUCACGCUGAGGACUCUAAUGAGACUGCCACCGUAAGGUGUGAGGAAGGUGGGGAUGACGUCAAAUCAGCACGGCCCUUACGUCCGGGGCGACACACGUGUUACAAUGGGGGGUACAGAGGGUCGCUACCACGCGAGUGGAUGCCAAUCUCGUAAAGCCUCUCUCAGUUCGGAUCGGAGUCUGCAACUCGACUCCGUGAAGCUGGAUUCGCUAGUAAUCGCGCAUCAGCCAUGGCGCGGUGAAUACGUUCCCAGGCCUUGUACACACCGCCCGUCAAGCCAUGGAAGCCGGGGGGACCUAAAGUACGUAACCGCAAGGAGC